Molecule: long non-coding RNA, 222 nt
Filed under: Glycine max (soybean)
Lineage: Eukaryota; Viridiplantae; Streptophyta; Magnoliopsida; Fabales; Fabaceae
Description: long non-coding RNA (GMAX_LNC003762)
Source: RNAcentral
GUGGAAGUGAAUCUUGGAAGAAUAAGAGAGGAAAAGGAAAGUGGAAGAACAAUAAGCAAGAUGGCAACAAUCCUAAGGGAGAGAAUCAGAAGAAAGAAGGUGACAACAAUGGAAAGGGAAAGAAGAAAUCUAAAGAAGACAUUCAGUGUUACAAUUGCCAAAGAUAUGGUCAUUAUGCAGAUGAAUGUAAUAAUCCUAAAGUGCCUAGAAAGAGAAAUGAAG